CAGCGCCACAAGUGGGAAUCACAUUUAUUGGGCCUAAAGCGUCCGUAGCCUGUCUGAUAAAUCUCUUGUGAAAUCGUUCGGCUUAACCGAACGGCGUGCAGGAGACACUGUCAGACUAGAGACCGGGAGGGGUCGGAGGUAUUCCAGGAGGAGCGGUAAAAUGCUAUAAUCCCUGGAGGACCACCGGUGGCGAAGGCGUCCGACCAGAACGGAUCUGACGGUGAGGGACGAAAGCCAGGGGAGCAAUCCGGAUUAGAUACCCGAGUAGUCC
Molecule: ribosomal RNA, 271 nt
Filed under: uncultured archaeon
Lineage: Archaea
Description: partial 16S ribosomal RNA
Rfam family: Archaeal small subunit ribosomal RNA
Source: RNAcentral